AUCCAUCUGACGAGUCCCAAAUAGAACGAAAUGUGAAUGCUGAAU
This 45-nucleotide non-coding RNA is filed under the name Schistosoma margrebowiei. The record is from RNAcentral. Lineage: Eukaryota; Metazoa; Platyhelminthes; Trematoda; Strigeidida; Schistosomatidae.